Long non-coding RNA from Rhincodon typus (whale shark), 5635 nucleotides. RefSeq lists it as uncharacterized. NCBI's taxonomy places the organism in Eukaryota, Metazoa, Chordata, Chondrichthyes, Orectolobiformes, Rhincodontidae. The transcript has 3 exons. The record is from RefSeq and is a predicted model, not a curated record.
UUAUUGAAGUCAGAGCUAUUGAGUGGUAGUCAUUAAAGCACACUGCAUGUGUUGUCUUGGGUAUGGGGAUGAUGGUGGGCACCAUUGAACUUCAUUACGUUGAGAGGGGGUUUUUGGGGUGCCCAGGUUCAGUCAGCAUCAACAACAGUUUAUGGUACUUCGACCUGACUCUGUUCAUUGUUGCAAAUUGGCAUUGAAUUUUGUAUUUCCAGUCCAUCUACCUCUUCCUGCUGGUAAAUUCACACCAACUGUAUGUGUGUACUCUGCCUUUGUACUAUUUCUUCAAGUCAUGGCAUUAGGACAACUAGAUUUGGUCAUUGUAACUAAGACUAUUUACUGUGAACAUUUGGGAAGCACUGAUAGACAGAAAGGGAGAUGUUGCACUGUGUAGCUGCUGGUAAGACAUGCCUGGAAAUGCUCAUCACUGAACAAAAUGUUGUCUCAAAUCUGGAUUUGUGAUGUUCCUCCUGCUUCACAGUAACAUUAAUUGGGAAAUGGAGCAGGAAGCUUGAUACUGAGCUCCUUUCCAAACAGCGAACCAUCUGAGUAAAAGUCUGCUCAUGAAUGGGAUCCCUCAGUAUAUUUCAGUCUGUGUCCCCAGCUCUGUGUGUCAGAUUUAGUUGUUUCACGUGACAUAGUUCAGCAAACCCUAGAGGCAGCUCCUAAUCAUUUAUUCAGUUAUUGCUGGUAAAUAGGUUUGCUUCAAUAAGUGAGGUUUUGGAGAAAAGCUUACUUUCUUGGGUAGAAGUUUUUCGUUGAGGUAUGUCAAUUGAAGGGGUUCUUACUUCUGAGUUGGAUGCUCCGACAGACUGUUGACUUGAGUAAGAUCACAGCCCGUCCUGAUCCUGUCCUUAUCUAAUGUCCACACAUUCAGGAGGGUCUGGGAUUGAUCAGAAACCUUGUUUGUAUGGUGGGAUCUAUCAGGGGCUUGUGCCUGAACUGCGAAGGAGGGGCUGGUGGUCUUUAGAAUCUUCAUCUUCCCUUGAUAUCACAUUUUCAUUUGCAGUGAAAUGAAGCCCCCAGAGAACUGUUUAAAUAUUAAUUACGGAAAUAAUUAGGCCACAGUCUGUAAUUAUUCAGAAUUUCAAGACAAAUGAGUACACUUAUUCCAAGGCUGUACAGAAAGCAGCUAUCAUACUGAGACAGUGUAGUGCCAGCUUUGCUUUGUAUCUAACCCUGUGCUGCACUGACCUGGGAGUGUGGGAUGGGCACAACCUGGAGAGAAUUUAGUCUGGAUCUGAUCAUUUCUUCCAGUUCAAAUUGAGAUUAAUUAUCUUUCAUUCUAUGAAUAGCUAUCCACAAACAUUGAGUGAAAUAUUGCUUUCUUUCACCAAGAAUUCAUCAAAGGAAACUUUGAAUGAAGCUCUUCUUUGCUCAGUAGGUUGUGUUCAGCAAAUUGAACAUUCAAAAUCUAUUUCACGGUGAGUAUUUAUCAUGUGUGACCCAGAGAGAUGGUGGAAUUCCAAUAACUACCUGAUGUUCCAAUCCCCUAGCUUCAUGCGUGCUUUAAAGCAGAUAUCAUUACACAGCAAGGGAUGUUUGGUGAAUGUUCAUUUUGCUACUUGCUCCAAUAUUGAGCGCAUUGCAUUGAAGCCACUGACUCUGACCAACAGAGCAAAUGCGGAGAGUUUCCAUCAGGAGUAGUUGGACCCCAGCAAGGCCCAGUUAUAGAUUAGUUACACAACUGAGCUCUACUGCUUCCAUGUAUUUUAAUAAGAUUGAUAGUGACUGUAGUGCAGACAUUUAGAACGCUAUAAUGAGAGCUUAACAAAGUUUGACCUGAUGUUUAGAGAGGAAGAAUCGAGUUGGGAAGAAGCCGGUCAGUUUGUCGAUCCUGCCUAUGAGUGGCGGGACGCGCAGCAGUUUUUCUGCGGAUGAUGAGUUGACUGCUCCAUACCGAACUCUUCCGGUCCAGGCAGCCUCUGAGGCCCACGUGCCUCCCAGCACUAGCAGGCAGGUCAAUGCCGGGCUCAGAACAGCGAGCAGCAGUAAGCACCGCGAUAUCAUCAUCUGGUGACCAAAGGCUGCUGCCAUCUCUCCACAGCGUUUACUGGCAGCUACCAGUGAUCUCACUGGAGCACAAGGUGAAUUUUAUGGAUGUCGCCAAGUUCUGGCCCGUUCACGGUGCCUCCCUGAGCAGGAAAGCAAGGUGACGUGGCAGCUAACCCGCAACUUUGAAGACAUGGCCUCCAUGCUUGUAUCAAGCACGGACCCUUGACUGAAGCAUCUGCCCUUUCUAAUCAGUUGGGUCCCAACAUGGGAGCAGUUCAUCACAAGUCCUGCAGGCUGUGAUAGUGAGAACGUGCAGUGAUUUUUUUUUUUACUGUACACUUGGACAGUUCUUUUCUGGUUCAGGAUGGGUGAUGAGACUCAAGUUUUUGUUUCCCCUGUUGGACAUUCUUGUAUAUUGUACUUGAAGUUAUUUUACUGGUGGGAUGGGAGGGGAGAAUGUCUGUUUUUGGUGUUUAAUUUUUUUAAUAUAAAAUGCUCUCACGAGCGUUCUGUGACUACAUAUUCAGGUGAAGUUAUGUUAACUUCUGACACUUUGCAUCCUCCAUAGGCACCACAUGCCAGACCGUUCCACCUCAUUUCUUCAUUUGAGGUUGAACAUUUUUUUUGUAUAAACUUAUAAACCAGAAGAAAACCCCCUCUCAGGAAGUUGAUGCCUGGUCUUGCUUGCUCUACCUGUGUGUGUGCAUGCAUAUCUAGGGUGCAGCCAAUUCUUAUCCUCUGAGCCAAUUGUGUUUUAUUGUUGAGUAUGGCGUGGACCCCACAAGGACUGAACUCUUUAUACGUGAUAACCUUGUUAAUUGUUAUGGUUCCACAUGUUGCUUCUGCAGACUCACGGGUGACUGUGUUGGUACUCUAACAGCUCUCUUGUGCUCAACCUGGUUUUAAUGCUGUUUUGAUUUUCCUUUUAUUUAACGCUAAUAGCAGUAUUUGAAGUGAAUGGAGAAGUGUUGUGAAAAAGAGCAUCUGAAACCAGCAAACUCUGGGUGGAUCACUGACCAAGUGGCCUCUUAUGCUGCAAUUUACAAUGUUUCAAACUCUUAUCAAAGGUAAACAGAAAGCAUCAUCUAGAGGACAGUGUUUAAACUUGGAGCAUCUGCAAGAGACAUGACUAAUGUGCAUUACGUUUCUGUUCCUGCCCUGGGAUGGUUACUUGGCGAACAUGGGGGAAAAGGAAUUGUUUGUCGGUCACCUCCUGUCCUUCCCUCCUUUUGCAGGCUACCCAAGGAGCAGUCAGCAGGCACUUACACCCUGCCAUUCACUGCAUUGAGAGGCUGCCGUGUACACUGGGUUCUGUUCCAUUUAUUGUGAAAACAUAACCGCGAUAAGGAAGAUCCCAGUCACUUUAACAACAAAGCAAAUAGGAGACGCCCUCAUUUUGUUUCUAUUGUUGUUAAGCAAGGAAACACUAAUCUUUUAAACUCUGUGGACAGUCAGGUUCACCACCUGAUCUCUCCUGUAUAGAGGUGUCAGCUUCUCAUGGAUGGGGAGAUGAGGGAUUGAUAAAAGUACAUAACCCUCAUCUCCCCAACCCCAACUCCACCCCUCAGCUUUUCUCCAAACUCCUUUGAUUUUCUGUGAAACAUCAGAUUUCAAUGGGAUACUCAUGUUCUGUCUCUGAGCAGACAGAGUUUAAUACUGCAUUGGAAUCCAGUGUUUUGGGAAAUGAGUCAGAAAUCACAUGACACCAGGUUAUAGUCCAACAGGUUUAUUUGAAGACAUGAGCUUUUGGAGCCUCGCUCUUCCUUCAGGAGUCAGUGAGAGAGGUGGUAUCAGACACCGAAUUUAUAAGCAAAAGAUUCGGGGGUCGUAGAACUGAUGCAAAUGUGUUGAACAAACCUAAGAUGGCUGUUAAAUCUUUAAUCAGUUAGAGAGGAUUAAUAUGCAAAUUCAAGAAUUUCUUUCAAGUCACUGCCUGAGAUAACUAAAGGUUUUAUCAGUUCCCUCGGUAUUCUAGAGGUGACAUCCCAGGUCAGACAAUGCAUUUUAGAUGUGAGGCCUUGUUUAGGAUCUGGCUGUGUUUUAACUUGGAGUCAGAUUGAUUUUAGUUCCAAAGCAGGAAUUUAUAAAAUGCCACAUUGACUGUCUACAAAUUGUGUGCUUUUUGAACAAAAUAGAGUAUCUGCAAUUACAAAUCUGCAAAUGCAAAUUAACACCAUAGAUAUGUGUGAGAGGACACAACACUUCAGUGUAGUGGGGUCACCUGUAGUGUUCAAAAAGCGCACCAUUUCUAAACAGUCAAUUUUAUAAAUUCCUAUUUUGGAAAUAAAACCAGAAGGAGGAGCAAGAGUCCAAAAGCUUGUAUCUUCAGAUAAACCUGUUGGACUAUAAUCUGGUGUCAUGUGAUUUUUGACUUUUGUUCACCCCAGACCAACACCAGCCCCUCCACAUCUGGGAAAUGGGAGCAUACAGAGCUCCAGUAAUAGGCUUUCUCCUCUUCCUUUCGGGUUACUGUAUGUGGGCCUUGUGUAGGGGUGUUUGGACGCCAUGUCUUGUGACAGUGCUGUGGCUCAGGCCCUGAUCUAGCUGUCUGCAGGAUGAAGCAAAGGAACUGGCAGCUCACUAAAGUGCUCCCCCACCAAACCCAGUGGAAAAUCCUGCUUUCCAGUCAGUUGGUCCUGGGAUGUUCACAAAGUAUGGUUGUUCAGUCCAGGAUAUUAUUGGCUAUGUUCUGUGGAACUAUCUCGUUCAGAGCACAAUUUACAAUUUAAAGCCUCUUUGAACUUGUUGAUAAACAUCACUUCAUAGGCUUGAAUCGAACUGAUGGCCAAUCUGUCAUCUCUUGAGUAGAUUGUUGUUAUAGUGAGAAUCCACAGCCAAUUAUCAUAUUUACUCCUUCUUUCUAACCUGAUCUUAUUGUCCCCUUUGUACUUGAGAAUAGUUGGUGUACGGUAUAAGUCAUAGGGAGAGUGAGAACUGGAUGGAAUGGCAGAUCCCUGUUGAAUGUGCCCCCACCAUCUCCAAGACCAGCAAUCUGAUUUGCAGCCUUCUCUCCCUUAGAAGUAUUGCUUGUUGAUUCAGAAUGCAAAUGUUUCCAGGCUUGCACACAAACCCUGGUGACCCCAUGCACGCUGCAGACUAACAUAAGUCAGCGGCUUUUUUUUUAAACAAUGUGAGCUCCUCCCUGAUCUUUGUAAUAUGGUGCUACAUGAAUCUUUAAUAUGGAUUAUCAUUUCUUAACGGAGGGGUUUUGAGAAACUGUGAUUUGAUUCAGGAAAAUUCUUCUAUUCUCUUCCUGUUUGACAGUCGCACGAAUUUUGAUAAAAUUGCAAAAAGGGGAAAAAAAAUACAUAGUUCUGAGAAAUUCUUUUCCUGACACUGAGCAGGACAGCAAUGUUGUAGCUAAUGGUGGGAUUUAUACAUUGUUUUCUCUAUGUAUUUUGAUAAUCUAAAUUGAUAAUUGUACAAAUGUAAUCUUUCCUUUUUAAUUCGUACAGAGGUUAUUGGCAAGAAGACGCCAAUCUCUCAGCAUCUGUAUGUCCAAACAGAGAACUUUACUGUUUUGUUUUUCAGAAAUACUUUUCACUAAACAUUAGAUGCAUUAGUCACAGCUUUGUGUAAAAAGAAAUAAAAAUUGUUCACUAAAUGGUCAUUUUUUUACACUUAAUAAAACCUUUUAAAUGGA